This 297-nucleotide ribosomal RNA is filed under the name uncultured bacterium. RNAcentral's name for it is "partial 16S ribosomal RNA". It matches the Rfam family "Bacterial small subunit ribosomal RNA", at positions 29 to 352 of the family's 1533-position model. The record is from RNAcentral.
AGCGAACGCUGGCGGCAGGCUUAACACAUGCAAGUCGAGCGGGCGUAGCAAUACGUCAGCGGCAGACGGGUGAGUAACGCGUGGGAACAUACCUUUUGGUUCGGAACAACACAGGGAAACUUGUGCUAAUACCGGAUAAGCCCUUACGGGGAAAGAUUUAUCGCCGAAAGAUUGGCCCGCGUCUGAUUAGCUAGUUGGUGAGGUAACGGCUCACCAAGGCGACGAUCAGAGCUGGUCUGAGAGGAUGAUCAGCCACAUUGGGACUGAGACACGGCCCAAACUCCUACGGGAGGCAGC